Molecule: ribosomal RNA, 449 nt
Filed under: uncultured bacterium
Lineage: Bacteria
Description: SSU rRNA
Rfam family: Bacterial small subunit ribosomal RNA
Source: RNAcentral
AGAACGAACGCUGGCGGCAGGCCUCAAACAUGCAAGUCUAGGGGGUGUAGCAAUACAUCACCGGCGGACGGGUGCGUAACACGUGGGAAUGUACCUAUUGGUUCGGAACAACGCAGGGAAACUUGCGCUAAUACCGAAUGUGCCCGAAAGGGGAAAGAUUUAUCGCCAAUAGAUCAGCCCGCGUAGGAUUAGCUAGUUGGUGAGGUAAUGGCUCACCAAGGCUCCGAUCCUUAGCUGUUCUGAGAGGAAGAUCAGCCACACUGGGACUGAGACACGGCCCAGACUCCUACGGGAGGCAGCAGUUGGGAAUCUUGGACAAUGGGCGAAAGCCCUGAUCCAGCCAUGCCGCGUGAGUGAUGAAGGCCUUCGGGUUGUAAAACUCUUUCGACGGGGACGAUAAUGACGGUACCGUAGAAGAAGCGUCCGGCUAACUUCGCGCCAGCAGCCGC